This 639-nucleotide non-coding RNA is filed under the name Pan troglodytes (chimpanzee). Lineage: Eukaryota; Metazoa; Chordata; Mammalia; Primates; Hominidae. The record is from RNAcentral.
GCACUGCGGGUGCCCUCUGGCCCCCACCCCAUCAUCGCGCAACACACCCCCUUCAACAUGCGCGCCCACCCUUUCAUUGCCCUGCGCCCCGAGCGGUCCCACCGCCCGGCAAAACACUGAGCAAGCCGCUGCGCUCACCUUGCUUGACACACUUGAGCCGGAGGGGGUCCUUGCAGUGUUUGAUCACGACCAGCACGUCCCUGAUGGUGAGCCCCGCCACGGGGGUCUCGUUCACCUCCAGCAGCAGCUCCUCCGACACCAACUUGCUGCCGCUCUCAUAGGCCACCUUGCCGGGCUUCACCUCCCCCAGUAAUGUCUUACAAUAACAGAAUGCAGGAGAGCACAUAUCAAUGAAGAAAAGACAAAAUGUACUUAUCCAUGAAGCUGAGGUUAAGAAACCAGUGUCUUCAAGAGCCAGGGACAGCACUGGGUCUGUGCAGAGUUGAGAGAUGGUGAUGACAUGUGGUUUCCAGCAUUCCUCGCCCAGUCCAGGGACACUGUGGGUGUGCCCAGCUUAAGUCCAGUCCAGUAACUGGAAAUACAAGCCCAAGUUCUGGAGAGUUUGAGCUGCAGAGAUAUAUAUGGGAACACUUUGAACCUUGACUCAUUGGCCAUAACCAGUAGAGUGGAAAAUACAAG